This 431-nucleotide ribosomal RNA is filed under the name uncultured Alphaproteobacteria bacterium. Its description in RNAcentral is "bacterial SSU rRNA". It matches the Rfam family "Bacterial small subunit ribosomal RNA", at positions 395 to 846 of the family's 1533-position model. The record is from RNAcentral. Lineage: Bacteria; Pseudomonadati; Pseudomonadota; Alphaproteobacteria.
UGCCGCGUGAGUGAAGAAGGCCCUUGGGUUGUAAAGCUCUUUCGUCGGGGAAGAAAAUGACUGUACCCGAAUAAGAAGGUCCGGCUAACUUCGUGCCAGCAGCCGCGGUAAUACGAAGGGACCUAGCGUAGUUCGGAAUUACUGGGCUUAAAGAGUUCGUAGGUGGUUAAAAAAGUUGGUGGUGAAAUCCCAGAGCUUAACUCUGGAACUGCCAUCAAAACUUUUUAGCUAGAGUAUGAUAGAGGAAAGCAGAAUUUCUAGUGUAGAGGUGAAAUUCGUAGAUAUUAGAAAGAAUACCAAUUGCGAAGGCAGCUUUCUGGAUCAUUACUGACACUGAGGAACGAAAGCAUGGGUAGCGAAGAGGAUUAGAUACCCUCGUAGUCCAUGCCGUAAACGAUGUGUGUUAGACGUUGGAAAUUUAUUUUCAGUGU